This 154-nucleotide ribosomal RNA is filed under the name Sanghuangporus baumii. RNAcentral describes it as "5.8S ribosomal RNA". It matches the Rfam family "5.8S ribosomal RNA". Rfam says of the family: 5.8S ribosomal RNA (5.8S rRNA) is a component of the large subunit of the eukaryotic ribosome. It is transcribed by RNA polymerase I as part of the 45S precursor that also contains 18S and 28S rRNA. Lineage: Eukaryota; Fungi; Basidiomycota; Agaricomycetes; Hymenochaetales; Hymenochaetaceae. The record is from RNAcentral.
AACUUUCAACAACGGAUCUCUUGGCUCUCGCAUCGAUGAAGAACGCAGCGAAAUGCGAUAAGUAAUGUGAAUUGCAAAAUUCAGUGAAUCAUCGAAUCUUUGAACGCACCUUGCGCCCCUUGGUAUUCCGAGGGGCAUGCCUGUUUGAGUGUCA